Molecule: ribosomal RNA, 859 nt
Filed under: Liquorilactobacillus satsumensis
Lineage: Bacteria; Bacillati; Bacillota; Bacilli; Lactobacillales; Lactobacillaceae
Description: bacterial SSU rRNA
Rfam family: Bacterial small subunit ribosomal RNA
Source: RNAcentral
UCCCAAGCAGCCCGGGNUAAUACGUAGGUGGGCAAGCGUUGUCCGGAUUUUAUUGGGCGUNAAAGGGAANGCAAGGCGGUUUUUUUUAAGUUNUGAUGUGAAAAGCCUUNGGNUUUAACCNGAAAGUCGUUGCAUUUGGAAACNUGGGAGACUUGAGUGCAGAAGAGGAGAGUGGAACUCCAUGUGUAGCGGUGAAAUGCGUAGAUAUAUGGAAGAACACCAGUGGCGAAAGCGGCUCUCUGGUCUGUAACUGACGCUGAGGUUCGAAAGCGUGGGUAGCAAACAGGAUUAGAUACCCUGGUAGUCCACGCUGUAAACGAUGAAUGCUAAGUGUUGGAGGGUUUCCGCCCUUCAGUGCUGCAGCUAACGCAUUAAGCAUUCCGCCUGGGGAGUACGACCGCAAGGUUGAAACUCAAAGGAAUUGACGGGGGCCCGCACAAGCGGUGGAGCAUGUGGUUUAAUUCGAAGCAACGCGAAGAACCUUACCAGGUCUUGACAUCUUUUGCUAACCUGAGAGAUCAGGCGUUCCCUUCGGGGACAAAAUGACAGGUGGUGCAUGGUUGUCGUCAGCUCGUGUCGUGAGAUGUUGGGUUAAGUCCCGCAACGAGCGCAACCCUUAUUACUAGUUGCCAGCAUUUAGUUGGGCACUCUAGUGAGACUGCCGGUGACAAACCGGAGGAAGGUGGGGAUGACGUCAAAUCAUCAUGCCCCUUAUGACCUGGGCUACACACGUGCUACAAUGGACGGUACAACGAGUCGCAAGACCGCGAGGUUUAGCUAAUCUCUUAAAACCGUUCUCAGUUCGGAUUGUAGGCUGCAACUCGCCUACAUGAAGUCGGAAUCGCUAGUAAUCGCGGAU